UACGGAGGGUGCAAGCGUUAUCCGGAUUCACUGGGUUUAAAGGGUGCGUAGGCGGGCAUGUAAGUCCGUGGUGAAAUCUCCGAGCUUAACUCGGAAACUGCCAUGGAUACUAUGUGUCUUGAAUGUUGUGGAGGUGAGCGGAAUAUGUCAUGUAGCGGUGAAAUGCUUAGAUAUGACAUAGAACACCAAUUGCGAAGGCAGCUCACUACACAAAUAUUGACGCUGAGGCACGGAAGCGUGGGGAUCAAACAGG
RNAcentral lists this ribosomal RNA (253 nucleotides) under uncultured bacterium. RNAcentral describes it as "partial 16S ribosomal RNA". It matches the Rfam family "Bacterial small subunit ribosomal RNA", at positions 524 to 776 of the family's 1533-position model. The record is from RNAcentral.